CGUCCUAUGUCUGGUGCCCGCUCUGCUCUCAGCCCUCUGCUGGACGCACAGUAGAUGGAUGGAGCUCUCUCUUUCUCUGUAUACGUGAUAAGAAGCACAUAAAAAACGGCGACAUCUGUCAGAUUUUGUGAUGCUACAGCUUUAACUAUGGACAACAUAUAGUCAGAUGGCGUGAAUGGACGUGCUGUCAUCAACUGCUGGUUAAAAGUAAGCCUAUGCACCAUUUUGUUAUGGCAGAUGUCGCCCAGCACUCUGGAUUAAGUGACUGCUGUUGUUCCUCCACUCACUGAAAGGGACACCGGAUAUCCGGACCAUGGGUUGUAACGGGAAGCCAGACCGCCUGAGCUACGGUAAAUGGACCAGAACAUGAUCUGUCUUGAAGUGCACCAAGAUUUCAACAUCUUUGUUCACUUCUGCUAUUUUGCUGUAGAUGACUGUGAAAACACAAAACUGACGUGCAGAAGUGACUUGCGGUCACUACACAGCAAGUAUCACUGCCCAUAUCUUGUGUAACACCAGGCCAUCCUUGCAAAAUGAACACUGGCUUAAUUAUUAGAGCAACAUUCAUGUGUGAGAAGAUAUUUCAAUACACUCGCUGUGUGCGAAGGUUUAAUUGAUGCUUUACACAGACAGGUGUUUCCUUACUGUAUACAAAACACUGUAAUGAUGUAUCAUUAAUAAAUCAAUUUAUACAUUAAUAUGUAAA
This is a long non-coding RNA of Siniperca chuatsi (mandarin fish), 706 nucleotides long. RefSeq lists it as uncharacterized. Lineage: Eukaryota; Metazoa; Chordata; Actinopteri; Centrarchiformes; Sinipercidae. The record is from RefSeq and is a predicted model, not a curated record. The transcript has 3 exons.